Long non-coding RNA from Drosophila rhopaloa, 505 nucleotides. RefSeq lists it as uncharacterized. Lineage: Eukaryota; Metazoa; Arthropoda; Insecta; Diptera; Drosophilidae. The transcript is spliced from 2 exons. The record is from RefSeq and is a predicted model, not a curated record.
AAAGCUUGCACGAAAGCAAAGCUGAUUCUUAACGUUUUUCUUAUUUAUUUCCUAUUUACCAAAUUAUAAAUAUCUUCAAAAAUAUCUACAGCGCUGUUAAAAUUGAAUAAUGAAUUAAAAAAAAACUGCAGGCCAAGUCGGUCCAAGUCAAGAGUCCCAGGCCGUGGCAGUGUUGCGUGUAAUUUGUUAUUUUAUUUUAUUGUUAUUAUUACCGCAUGCGACGUGCACUUUAUUUUCAUUACCAGUUGGGAUUCUUUUCAUGCAUAUGUAACUUCGUGUAUGGGAGAGCGCAUCUAAUGUCAUGCAUCGGAAUUGGAAAAUGCUUUCAUAGUUGCAGCAGUUGUUGCUGUUGCUGCCGCUUUUGUUGCACGUGUGAAUGUUGCAUUUGUGCCCAACUGGGCGGAGUCCCCGGGUUUUGUGGAGCUGGCCCAGCACCUACUACCAGGCUAAUUGGAAAUGCAUAAAUGGUAAUUGAUGGCUAUAAAUAAAAUGAUGAUAUACCCAA